Molecule: non-coding RNA, 125 nt
Filed under: Chloropicon mariensis
Lineage: Eukaryota; Viridiplantae; Chlorophyta; Chloropicophyceae; Chloropicales; Chloropicaceae
Source: RNAcentral
AGAGAAGAGAGAGAGAAGAGAAGAGCGGACACAUUUCGUUUCUUUUUCGUUUCUUUUUUUGCUUUUUUUUCUCAUUUCCACGGACGUUUCCAUUAUUCCGCUUUUCUUUUUUGAAAAGCCAAACA